RNAcentral lists this long non-coding RNA (322 nucleotides) under Erythranthe guttata (spotted monkey flower). RNAcentral describes it as "long non-coding RNA (EGUT_LNC000819)". The record is from RNAcentral. Lineage: Eukaryota; Viridiplantae; Streptophyta; Magnoliopsida; Lamiales; Phrymaceae.
CACUACUGAUUUACCCAAUCUUUUGUUGAAUGGUAUUGGUUGUUUAUAUGUUUUUUAAAUUACAAUGCUCCAAAUUCGUUUAAGAAUUUAUAAUUACAAUGCUCAAUUAUUAGCUAUUAUUGAUUAUUGUAUGUAACUUUACUUACAUAUUGGUAAAUACGGUUCAGUUCUUUAGCUAUUUAAUAAGAUUUGAAUCUUUGAGUGAGAGUGGGGUUAGGGGUUAGUAUACUGGAAUUGUAAACCUUUCAGCGGAUUCAAUCUCUUGAUCUUCAGUUGAAAGUGCAACUUCUCAUCUAAUGUGCAUUAUUAAGGUAAAGUAAAU